Molecule: long non-coding RNA, 9363 nt
Organism: Oncorhynchus keta (chum salmon)
Lineage: Eukaryota; Metazoa; Chordata; Actinopteri; Salmoniformes; Salmonidae
Exons: 2
Source: RefSeq, a predicted model, not a curated record
AAUUGCCAAGAAAUACAAAAGUAUUUGGAGGGAUGGGGUCCCUGAACCAUUUACAGUGGGUUGUAUUCAUGAAAGUCUUAUUGAUAGAAAAUAGCCAAAGCCCAAAAAUACAAAAGCAGGGUGAAUUCAGAAAAAGGGAGAGACAUUUUGCUUUUCCAUUAUAUAUUAUAUUAGCGCAACACCUAAUACAUUUCUAAAAUGAUAUUUCCUAAUCACACAAAAAAAUAACAUGUUGAUAUGAUAUUCGCAGGAGGCAUGACACACACAUUUGUGUACACAACCAAAACCAUAUUUUCGGUUCACAUUGGGUAAACUGGGACGCAAUUAUCAUAGUCCUAAUAGUUUUUUUAUUUUAAUUUUAAUUUAUUUCACCUUUAUUUAACCAGGUAGGCUAGUUGAGAACAAGUUCUCAUUUACAACUGCGACCUGGCCAAGAUAAAGCAAAGCAGUGUGACACAAACAACAACACCGAGUUACACAUGGAAUAAACAAACAUACAGUCAAUAAUACAAUAGAGAAAGUCUAUAUACAGUGUGUACAAAUGAGGUAGGAUAAGGGGGGUGAGGCAAUAAAUAGGCCAUAGUGGCGAAAUUAUUACAGUAUGGCAAAUUAAACACUGGAGUGAUAGAUGUGCAGAAGAUGAGUGUGCAAGUAGAGAUACUGGGGUGCAAAGGAGAAAAAUAAACAAAAUAAAUAAUAAUAUGGUGAUGAGGUAGUUGGGUGGGUUAUUUACAGAUGGGCUAUGUACAGGUGCAGUGAUCUGUGAGCUGCACUGACAGCUGGUGCUUAAAGCUAGAGAGGGAUAUAUAAGUCUCCAGCUUCAGUGAUUGUUGCAGUUCGUUCCAGUCAUUGGCAGCAGAGAACUGUAAGGAAAGGCGGCCACAGGAGGAAUUGUCUUUGGGGGUGACCAGUGAAAUAUACCUGCUGGGGCGCGGUUCUGUGGGUGGGUGUUGCUAUGGUGACCAGUGAGCUGAGAUAACGCCUUGAGCCAGUGGGUUUGGCGACGGAUAUGAAGCAAGGGCCAGCCAACGAGAGCAUACAGGUCGCAGUGGUGGGUAGUGUAUGGGGCUUUGGUGACAAAAUGGAUGGCACUGUGAUAGACUGCAUCCAAUUUUCUGAGUAGAGUGUUGGAGGCUAUUUUGUAAAUUACAUUGCCAAAGUCAAGGAUCGGUAGGAUAGUCAGUUUUACGAGGGUAUGAUUAGCAGCAUGAGUGAAGGAUGCUUUGUUGCAAAAUAGGAAGCAGAUUCUAGAUGUAAUUUUGGAUUGGAGAUUCUUAAUGUGAGUCUGGAAGGAGAGUUUACAGUCUAACCAGACACCUAGGUAUUUGCAGUCAGAACCUUCCAGAGUAGUGAUGCUGGACGGGUGGGUAGGUGUGGGCAGCGAUCGGUUGAAGAGCAUGCAUUAAGUUUUGCUUGCAUUUAAGAGCAGUUUGAGGACACGGAAGGAGAGUUGUAUGGCAUUGAAGCUCAUCUGGAGGUUAGUUAACACAGUGUCCAAAGAAGGGCUAGAAGUAUACAGAAUGGUGUCGUCUGUGUAGAGGUGGAUUAGAGAAUCACCAGCAGCAAGAGCGACAUCAUUGAUGUAUACAGAGAAAAGAGUCAGCCCAAGGAUUCAACCCUGUGGCACCCCCACAGAGACUGCCAGAGGUCCGGACAACAGGCCCUCGGAUUUGACACACUGAACUCUGUCAGAGAAGUAGUUGGUGAACCAGGCGAGGCAGACAUUUGAGAAACCAAGGCUGUUGAGUCUGCAGAUAAGAAUGUGGUGAUUGACAGAGUCGAAAGCCUUGGCCAGGUCGAUGAAUACAGCUGCACAGUAUUGUCUCUUAUCGAUAGCGGUUAUGAUGUCAUUUAGGACCUUGAGCGUGGCUGAGGUGCACCCAUGACCAGCUCGGAAACCAGAUUGCAUAGCGGAGAAGGUACGGUGGGAUUCGAAAUGGUCGGUGAUCUGUUUGUAAACUUGGCUUUCGAAGACCUUAGAAAGGCAGGGUAGGAUAGAUAUAGGUAUGUAGCAGUUUGGGUCUAGAGUGUUCCCCUUUGAAGAAGGGGAUGACCGCGGCAGCUUUCCAAUCUUUGGGAAUCUCAGUCGAUACGAAAGAGAGGUUGAACAAGCUAGUAAUAGCGUUUGCAACAAUUUCGGCUGAUCAUUUUAGGAAGAGAGGGUCUUCCCUCAGCUCUGCUGAUUUGUAGGGGUCCAGAUUUUGCAGCUCAUUCAGAACGUCAGCAAUCUGGAUUUGGGUGGAGUAAAGUUGCAUAUCGCGGGGGCUGUUCGAUGCUAAUGCAGAACGCCGCAGGAUGUUUUUGUGCUGGUCAAGGGCAGUCGGGUCUGGAGUGAACCAAGGGCUAUAUCUGUUCCUGGUUCUACAUUGUUUGAAUGGAGCAUGCUUAUUUAAGAUGGUGAGGAAAGCACUUUUAAAGACAGGCAUCCUCUACUGACGGAAUGAGGUCAAUAUCAUUCCAGGAUACCCGGGCCAGGUCGAUUUGAAAUGCCUGCUCGCUGAAGUGUUUAAUGGAGCGUUUGACUGUGAUGAGGGGUGGUCGCUUGACUGCAGACCCAUUACGGAUGCAGGCAAUGAGGCAGUGAUCGCUGAGAUCCUGGUUGAAGACAGCAGAGGUGUAUUUGGAGGGCAGGUUUGUUUGGAUGAUAUCUAUGAGGGUGCCCGUGUUUACGGAUUUGGGGUUGUACCUGGUGGGUUCAUUGAUCAUUUGUGUGAGAUUGAGAGCAUCAAGCUUAGAUUGUAGGAUGGCCGGGGUGUUAAGAAUGUCCCAGUUUAGGUCACCUAACAGCACGAGCUCGUAUGUACCGCACGAUUGUACCGCAAUAACAAUUAAAUUCACACUUUUUUGUUAUAUUAUAAUCUUGAGAAUUUUUGAAAUGUACUGUAUCAUGUGUUGGGCUAAUAUGUUGGAUAGAUGUCGAAAGAGGUUAGAGAAGACAGAAAUGGAAUAUAUAUAAAUUAAACAGGAUAACGGUACUUCAACAACCGGAGCUCUGCCUAACCUAAGUACAAGGGGUCCCUAUAAACGGGAUCUGUCCCACUUUAGGUACUCCAUGCUAUCUUACCUUAGCUAGCAAUGGUUGGUAAAGUGGGACAACAACAAAAAUGACUGAAUUACAAAAUUGAAACAUAUCAGCAACUUGUUUUUAUUUAUUUUCAAGCACCAGUAGAUUGUAUGACUAUUUACAUCACAAUUUGGCACAGUGCAUUAUCUAUGACUGGGUUAUAACUAACCCAAGAUAGUUAAUCUGUGUCAGUUUCAAUGGGAGCAAAUUAAGCAUAGUGGGCAGAACAAGCAAGGAGGUGUGUUCUAGCAUGUUGUUGCAUAUUUCUGUUAGGGGACGACUUCUCUGUGAAGUGCACGUGUGCAAUAACUCAAUUCGCUCUAGAACUUCUUGUAAACAACACUUUUUUUCCCUUUGGCAAAAGGCCAUGUCAACAAAACGUGUACUCUGUUCGUAACAGAUUUUAGUUUUGGGAACAGAAAACCUUAUUGCGAUGAGACUUUUCUUCGAUCAGAAAAUCAACAGAAUGUUGGCCCAGUUCCAUCUUGUUCCAACCUAUUGGAAGCUGGGGUGUCUGAUCUGUGUGCUAGUAGUUCAAACAGACAACUCGGUUCAUUCAACAUUCAAUACCUCUCACAAAUACAAUCAGUGAUGAGGUCAAUCUCUCCUCCACUUUGAUCCAGGAGAGAUUGACAUGCAUAUUAUUAAUGUUAGCUCUAUCUUUCCAUUGAAAGGCAAGCUGUGCUGCCCUGUUCUGAGCCAAUUGCAAUUUUUACAAGUCCCUCUUUGUGGCACCUGACCAAACGACUGAACAGUAGUCCAGGUGUGACAAAACUAGGGCCUGUAGGACCUGUCUUGUUGAUAGUGUUGUUAAGAAUGCAGAACAGUGCUUUAUUAUAGACAGACUUCUCACCAUUCUAGCUACUAUUGUAUCAAUAUGUCUUGACCAUGACAGUUUACAAUUGAGUUUUACUCCAUUUACUCAAUUUCCCCCAUUUAGUCACCUCAACUUGCUCAAUUUCCACAUAAUUCAUUACAAGAUUUAGUUCAGGUUUAGGGUUUAGUGAAUGAUUUGUCCCAAAUACAAUGCUUUUAAAAAAAUAUUUAAGACUAACUUGUUCCUUGCCACCCAUUCUGAAACUAACUGCAGCUCUUUGUUAAGAGUUGCUGUCAUUUCAGUCGCUGUGGUAGCUGAUGUGUAUAGUGUUGAGUCAUCCGCAUACAUAGACACUUUACUCAAAGUUAUUAGUAAAGAUUGAAAAAAGUAAGGGACAGCUGCCCUGGGGAAUUCCUGAUUCUACCUGGAUUCUGUUGGAGAGCCUCCAUUAAAGCACACCCUCUGUAUUCUGUUAGACAGGUAACUAUUUAUCCGCAAUAUAGCAGGGGGUGUAAAGCCAUAACAUAUAUGUUUUUCCAGCAACAGACUGAUCAAAAAUGUCAAAAGCCACACUGAAGUCUAACGAAACAGCCCCCACAAUCUUUUUAUCAUUAAUUUCUUUCAGCCAAUCAUCAGUUGUUGAAUGUCCUUCCCUAUUUUUUAACUAGGCAAGUCAGUUGAGGACAAAUUCUUAUUUACAAUGAUAGCCUAGGAACAGGGGGUUGACUGCCUUGUUCAGGGGUAGAACAACAGAUUUUUACCUUGUCAGCUCGGGAUUUCAAUCUAGCAACCUUUCGGUUACUGGCCUAACGCUCUAAUCACUAGGCUCCCUGCCGCCCCAAUAGGUGUGCUGAAAGUCUGCUGUCAAUUUGUUUACUGUAAAAGAGCAUCGAAUCUUGUCAAACACAGUUUUUUCCAAAAGUUUACUGAGGGUUGGUAAAAUGGGUCGGGUAUUUGAACCAGUAAAGGGGGAUUUACUAUUCUUAACUAGGGGAAUAACUUUCGCUUCCCUCCAGGACAAAGGGCACACACUUUCUAGUAGGCUUAAAUUGAAGAUAUGGCAAAUACAGUGCCUUCAGAAAGUACCCCUUGACUUUUUCCACAUUUGAUUAAUUUACAGACUUAUUCUAAAAUUGAUGAAAUAAAAAACAAUCCUCAGCCAUCUACACACCAUAUCCAUAAUGACGUUUUUGGAAAUGUUUGCAAAUGUAUAAAAAAUAAAUAAAUAAUAUAUAAAUAAUAUAUGCCAUUUAGCAGACGCUUUUAUCCAAAGCGACUUACAGUCAUGUGUGCAUACAUUCUACGUAUGGGUGGUCCCGGGGAUCGAACCCACUACCCUGGCGUUACAAGCGCCAUGCUCUACCAACUGAGCUACAGGACCAAUAAAAGACAGUAAUGUCCAAAGUUUGAAGACAACUACUCAUUCCAGGUUUUUUAUUUUUGUUUUUACUAUUUUCAACAUUAUAGAUUAAUAGUGAAGACAUCAAAACUAUGAAAUAACACAUAUGGAAUCAUGUAGUAACCCAAAGAGUGUUAAACAAAUCAAAAUAUAUUUUAUGUUUGAGGUUCUUCAAAGUAUAGUCGAUGACAGCUCUGCAAACUCUUGGCAUUCUCUCAACCUGCUUCAUGAGGUACUCACCUCGAAUGCAUUUCAAUUAACAGGUUUGCCUUGUUAAAAGUUAACUUGUGGAAUUUAUUUCCUUCUUAAUGCGUUUGAGCCAAUUAGUUGUGUUGUGACAAGGUAGGGGUGUUAUAAAGAAGAUAGCCGUAUUUGGUAAAAGAUCAAGUCCAUAUUAUGGCAAGAACAGUUCAAAUAAGCAAAGAGAAAUGACAGUCCAUCAUUACUUUAAGACAUAAAGGUCAGUCAAUCCGGAAAAUUUCAAGAACUUUUAAAGUUUCUUCAAGUGCAGUCGCAAAAUCUAUCAAGCGCUAUGAUGAAACUGGCUUUCAUGAAGACCACCACAGGAAAGGAAAACCCAGAGUUACCACUGCUACAGAGUAGAGGUCGACCCAUUAAUCGGAAUGGCCGAUUAAUUCGGGCCGAUUUCAAGUUUUCAUAACAAUCAGAAAUCUGUAUUUUUCGGCACCGAUUUGACGUUUUUAUACCAUUAUUUAACUAGGCAAGUCAGUUAGAACACAUUCUUAUUUUCAAUGACGGCCUAGGAACAGUGAACCGUAAUCAAAAACCAAGACUAUCAAAGGCCUUUGUGUCCAAACAUCAACAGAUAUUUGUACUAGCUCCAAUGUAUCAAGGAGGGGGACUUUGGCCUAUCUAAUGAAGCUAGAGGAAAUAUGUAGGCUACAGUAAGUAAAGUGUGAUAUCGUCUCUAGACAAGCUGUGCCAUUGAAUUGUUCAAGCAUCAUCAUUAUAAAAUGUAUUGGAGGAUUUUUACUCCACUGGCUGGCUACAAAUAAAGGUCCUUUUCAAAACACUGAAACUGUAGACCGUCAAUCAGACUCAGGAAUUACCAUUGGUUGAAAUUGGAAUCCUCGGAUGUUGUGACAGGCCAAAUCAAGGAGUUGGGAAAAAAGUUCAGUGAACGCAGCAUGUCUCCCCGGAGGCGGUGAGAAGAGUGGAAGAAAGGAGUGAAGUUGAAGAAAUAUUGGUAGUAGGAGUAGAGACACCAGAUAAUAUUCCUUGUCAACCGAGGGAUAUGUUGUAUGUUAGGAAGGUGGAUUUUUUUGGCGUGUAUUGCAUUGGGUAGCACCUGCACAGCUCAAACAAAGAGGAAAUCUGAGAAAAUUGGAGGGUUUGCAGAAAUAAAGCGUUUUUUGGGACUGAUAUAUUUUACAGCAUUACAAGGAAUCCUGUCGAUGAAUGCUCCGUUCUUCCAGGUACCUGAGCCUGUUUAUGGAUGUGAUUAGAACUGGGACUGAAGUGGUGCGAUAUAUUUAUUUUUAUUUUCUAUUUUUAUGACGUCCGAUCGUCGUCCCCUCCCUCAAUGGAAUAUUUGUUUGUUUCAAUACCCGGAAGUGAUGGUUCGUCGGCGAACUAGUCGGCUGUAAGAGCCGGCUCUUGUAAAUGAAUGUUGGGAGCCAACUCGUAUAUCAGAAGAGCUGAAUCUAUUUAUAAAAAUAUACAAAAAUUAAGGUAUGAAUAAUCAAACAUUUUAAAUUAAUAGAAUGAACUAAUUCAAAGAACGAAAAAAUAAAUAAAAUAAUAUAGGCCUAUAUGCUCACACACAUUCAAUCUGACUGUCUGCUGAGACUAACAGCCUCACCUGUUCUUCCUGUCAAUCAGACAUGCAGUGUCAACCAAUGAACCAAAGAAGCGUGAGGGAUGGCCGAGCCAACUCACUCACAGUCACACACUUAGCAGCUGAGGAGAGAGAGGAAGGACAGCUGUGAAAACAACAGCUGGAAAAUGAGUCGGAAACACAGUAGCUUUUGGAUGCAUUUGAAUAAUGUAGACAAUGUUAGAGCACAAUGUAUUUGCCCAAACAAAAUCUCAUAUAAAGCUGGUUCUACACACAACCUACACCGGCAUAUGCGAACUGUGCACCCAACUGUGAAGCUAGCUGGAGCGGAGCUUUGAGAAUCUAGCGGGCCUGCUAGUGAUACUGGUGGAGCCAGCACCUCCACACGUGGAGAUGUAUCCACUCAGUCAAGUAGGCCUACUCUUACUCUGUAUCCACAGCAAUGCAGUAUUUUAUGGACCAGUUUAUACCAAAGUCUAUGUCUGUAGCAAAACAAGGCCAAAUUGAUACUGCAUUGGCUAAAAUGAUUGUCACCGAUUUCCAGCCAUUUUCGAUUGUGGAGGUUUUAUAAAUUAUAGCAAUAGUCUAAAUCCAAUGUACACAAUUCCAAGCAGGAAAACCCACUGCUGGACAUCAAGGGUAACCACUUCUUACAUUUCUGUUACAUGUCACGUCUUCGAAGAUUUGUCGAUGUCUAGCUGUCUUCUGGGCUGCUUUGAGUUCAGCGACAGACACACCUCAGAGAACUGCGCAGAGGAACUGAUGAGAGUGGACAGAGAAUGGCAAUUAGAUGGAAAAGUGGUAUGUUGUGUUAGCGACAAUGCAGCUAACAUAACCAAAGCCAUUAACAUUUUUAAAUGGACCCAUCAUCCAUGUCUUGCCCACACAAUCAACCUGAUUGUAAGAGAUGCUCUGAAGGUGAUGAAGCCCACUGUGGACAAAGUGAAAGCAGCUGUGGAAUACUUCCACAGGAGCACAGUAGGUGCUGAAAAACUCAAAUCUACACAACGCCAGAUGGGGAUGCCUGAGCUGAGGCCUAAACAAGACUGCACUACAAGGUGGAAUUCAACAUUUUAUAUGCUGAAGUGGUUUCUUGAGUCAAAGGGUGCCAUCAUCUCUACCCUGGCCAUUGUUAAUGUACCUGUUGAUGCUCUGACCCAAGAGGAAUGGGAGGUGAUGGAGAAGAUGUGCAGAGUCCUGGAACCCUUUGAGCAGGUCACUGUGGAGAUCAGUGGAGAGAAGUACACUAUGUGACAGCCUCAAAAAUGGUACUCCUGUGUAAGGGUCUGCAGCGAAUCACAGCCAGCCGCCAGAGAGAAGCAAAUGUAACCACAGGACAUGUGACAGAGUUGAUGGACACCCUAUGUUCAUAAAUGGACAGAAAGUUCCACAGAAGGGAAUAUAAUCACGUGCUAUAAGAAACUGCUGCACUUGACCUCAUGUUUAAGAAGUUAGCCUUCAGUGAUGCCAGAGGGAUUGAUGAGGCUCUUCAAAGAAUAACCUCAGCUGCAGGGAGGAACAGCCCAAGCAGUCAACUGGCUCAGGCACCAGGGCAACAGGAAGAAGAGGGAGGGACAGCCCCAGCAGUCAGCUGGCACAGGCACCAGGGCAACAGGAAGAAGAGGGAGGGACAGCCCCAGCAGUCAGCUGGCUCAGGCACCAGGGCAACAGGAAGAAGAGGGAUCAGAUGGAGCAGAAGCACCAGCAGUUGUGCCGCAAACAACUGUUGUUUGAAUGCUGUUUGACGAGAAAGCAACUGGGGAUGCAGCACGAAGGAAUCCCUCAGCAGAUGCCAUAAUGGAGGUCUGAUCCUAUUUGGAGGAGCAACUCCAUGAUCUGCAGAUCAUCUGAGCUGGUGGAAGAACAAGGCCUCUGUCUACCCACGGCUUACUAAAGUCAUGACAGGGAGACUCUGCAUAGUGGCCACAUCCGUUCUCUGUGAGAGGGUCUUCUUGAAAAUGGGACAAAUAAUUACUGAGAGAUGAAACCGCAUCAGCCCCUCGAAAGUGAGGCAGCUUGCAUUUCUGAAUGCAAAUCUCUAAUAAAAGCAGCAUUGGUCAGCAUUGUUGUGUGCUGCUGGUUACAACAUGGCAAGAAAGAAGAGAGAGAAAAGAGAGACCAGUUAAAUGUUUUAAGUGGGAUGCUGCAGUUUUGCAAAUUGUUAUUUAUUUUUCUUUGAUAUAGUGCAGUAUUCUAUUAUGCUGUUCAGAUUGUAUUCGUUUUGAAUGGUUAGAUUUAUAUGCACUUUGUUUAUAUACAUUAAAAAGUUAUACUUUAAAUGCAAA